This is a long non-coding RNA of Portunus trituberculatus (swimming crab), 1468 nucleotides long. RefSeq lists it as uncharacterized. Lineage: Eukaryota; Metazoa; Arthropoda; Malacostraca; Decapoda; Portunidae. The transcript has 2 exons. The record is from RefSeq and is a predicted model, not a curated record.
AAAAGUCUUCAAUUCAAGAAGUACAAAUCGAAAAAUGGAAAGCCAAUAGCAUCAUUAGAUAGUAGAUAUGUACAUGCAUAACUGUUACAAGAAAAUAUAUCUUUAUUUGCGGCACUGAUGGAGUACAUCUUAUCUACAAUAGAAAUAAAGAUCACCUUUCAAAUAGGAUAAAGCGCACCACACUGUUCAACUGCGACCGUUUACGGAAAAGUGGAGAGUCGAGAAAGCAAAAUAAGAAAUAGUUAUAGGAAAACACGAUGUACCAUUACAGAGCCGUCUGGCAUCUUUCGUUUGACCUUGAGAUAGGUUGUUCUUAGACUUCUGGUAUUCCCUGCAACACAACGCAUUCAUACUCAACUCCGAGAGACAAGCACACCGCGUGGAAAAAUUCGAGGCAAUCCUUAGCGUGUACCGCUGCAUUCAGUGAAGGCACAAAUCUGGAGUAGCUUACUGAUUUACACAGACCACAGAAACCUACGGAAUAACUCCGGUUACCCGGCCACUAUUGCAGGAAAGAAAUGAGCGAUGACUGUGGUGGCUGCGACUCGGGGGGAGGAGGAGGCGGAGACAGCGGUGGAAGUUGCGAUUAUGGUGGAGACACCGGUGGAAGUUGUGAUUACGAUGGAUCUUGUGACGCUGGCGAGACCGUGGAGGAAUACAUGGAUUCCGACGGCGUGGUGAAGUUCAGGACUGUGCGCAGAACUGGUAAAGGCGGCAAAGGCAGCAGCACCAGAACUGGACAAAUGAUACUUCUUACCCUUGUUGUCAUCGUUGCCAUCGCAGUCAUUUUGUGGGCCUUUACAAGGUAGUUAGGUCCUGCAAACUGGAAGAUGCUCGUUUUCUAACGGUGCGUGUGUGUGUGUGUGUGUGUGUGUGUGUGUGUGUGUGUGCUUACGGUAAAAAGACUGAAUUUUUUGUUAAAUUGAGUAAACUCCAUAUGCCCUUGUUUCACUAAAUUAUCAUUACAUUUAUUUAUAUUGCUUAAGCGGACCGUUCCCUCUGGCUGCAUCAUGGAAGCCUCGUGCAUAUGGUGUUUCAUCUGCACCCCAGACAAUUAUUGGACUUGAAGGUACAGACAGAGAAACAGUCCGUCGAGCGAUUGAUUUUCCAUUUUUCUUCUUUUUACGCUGCCGAGAGGGAUCAAGUUAUUGCGUCAAGUGUUGCCUUGGUGAGGAUCUUUUUUUACAGCAAGAAUCGUUUCAAAUACAUUUUAUAUGUACUCAAUGAGAAUUGUAAUUUUUCAUAACCAGAAUGUCAUGCUUUUCGUCGUUAGACAGGGCCAUUAUACUAACCUUCUACUGUUUCUCUACUAGUGUCGUCUUGCGUCAGUGAGUGACUAUAUAUCAUAAAGUGUGGAUGUUUUUUCUCGCCUCUCUCCCCCUGAUUACUGUUAUAUUACACUAACUGUUACAAAACACUUUGUUCCAUGUAACCCGGUAAGACCUAUAGUAAUAAAGCCUUCUAAUGA